Molecule: ribosomal RNA, 242 nt
Filed under: uncultured bacterium
Lineage: Bacteria
Description: partial 16S ribosomal RNA
Rfam family: Bacterial small subunit ribosomal RNA
Source: RNAcentral
GGCGAACGGGUGAGUAACACGUGGGUAACCUGCCCCUCAAACUGGGAUAACUAUUGGAAACGAUAGCUAAUACCGGAUAGUAUAUCGAAGCGCAUGCUUUGAUAUUUAAAGACGCGUAUGCGUCAUUGAGGGAUGGACCCGCGGUGCAUUAGUUAGUUGGUGAGGUAAUGGCUCACCAAGACGAUGAUGCAUAGCCGGCCUGAGAGGGUGAACGGCCACAUUGGGACUGAGACACGGCCCAA